Molecule: ribosomal RNA, 429 nt
Filed under: Gemmatimonadota bacterium
Lineage: Bacteria; Pseudomonadati; Gemmatimonadota
Description: Gemmatimonadetes bacterium partial 16S ribosomal RNA
Rfam family: Bacterial small subunit ribosomal RNA
Source: RNAcentral
UAGGGAAUCUUCGGCAAUGGACGAAAGUCUGACCGAGCAACGCCGCGUGAGUGAAGAAGGUUUUCGGAUCGUAAAACUCUGUUGUUAGAGAAGAACAAGGACGUUAGUAACUGAACGUCCCCUGACGGUAUCUAACCAGAAAGCCACGGCUAACUACGUGCCAGCAGCCGCGGUAAUACGUAGGUGGCAAGCGUUGUCCGGAUUUAUUGGGCGUAAAGCGAGCGCAGGCGGUUUCUUAAGUCUGAUGUGAAAGCCCCCGGCUCAACCGGGGAGGGUCAUUGGAAACAGGGAGACUUGAGUGCAGAAGAGGAGAGUGGAAUUCCAUGUGUAGCGGUGAAAUGCGUAGAUAUAUGGAGAAACACCAGUGGCGAAGACGGCUCUCUGGUCUGUAACUGACGCUGAGGCUCGAAAGCGUGGGGAGCAAACAGG